AAGCGGGAAGCCCCCUUCAAGAUAAGUUUUCCCUGGGAAUUUAAUUCCCCUAAAGAGCCGUUAAAGACUAUGACGUUGAUAGGCUGGGUGUGUAAGUGCGGUAACGUAUUGAGCUAACCAGUACUAAUUGCUCGUGAGGCUUAACUAUAUAACGCCCAAG
This 160-nucleotide ribosomal RNA is filed under the name Oleiphilus sp. HI0069. RNAcentral's name for it is "partial 23S ribosomal RNA". It matches the Rfam family "Bacterial large subunit ribosomal RNA", at positions 2783 to 2925 of the family's 2925-position model. Lineage: Bacteria; Pseudomonadati; Pseudomonadota; Gammaproteobacteria; Oceanospirillales; Oleiphilaceae. The record is from RNAcentral.